GUGGGGCAGGGAAGUUGCUUCUAAAAGAGGUAACGCUUGAGCUACUUCUCAGAGGACCAGGAGAGUGAGCCAGGGCAGAGAAAGCACGUUUUGGAACAUGCUGAGAAGCCUGGCGGGGGAAGAGCAAGCACGUCCUGUGGGAGGAACUGAAAUCUCUGAGCAUGGCUGCAGCACAGAAUGUAACGCAGACAAUGGUGAGAGGUGUGAGAGGUUCAGCUGAGAACGUUCUGUGAACAACUGUGAACAGGGACCCUGAGCCUGGAAGGUGCAGACAGCAAGCAGGUGUGGCCCAGUUGAGGGACCUGAGUGACCACUCAGGAAACUGGUCAGAAGUAUCAGAAAACCAGCCUUGAUGGUGAAACCGUGGCUCUCCUGCGUGGACAUGGGGCUCAGCCCCUGGUGGUAGCCAGCUCCUCUGUAACCAGCCAAUCCGAAUCAACAAAGCAAGGAUUAUUUUAAACUGAGAAAUUACUGGAGUCUUCUUUGUGAAGUUCUGUGGCUUUGCUUUUGUAAAUCCCACCCUUGCCCUAGCGUUCACUGGGGCUGCUCACAUUCUUAGGAAAUGAAUAAAUCAAUUUUCUCUGCUGCUUAACUCUCA
Molecule: long non-coding RNA, 598 nt
Organism: Canis lupus familiaris (dog)
Lineage: Eukaryota; Metazoa; Chordata; Mammalia; Carnivora; Canidae
Exons: 2
Source: RefSeq, a predicted model, not a curated record